GGGAACGCCAACACAGAGGGGUUGGGGAGAAGAGGCAGAGAAAGAAACACUGAAAAAGCGCUGGGAGAGGUAGGAGGAGCACGAAGAGAGAGCAGUAUCCCGUAGACCGAGAUUACAGAGAAUGGGAAGAAGCUGUUGAUGAGCAACAGUGUCAAAGGCAGUUGAAAGAUCAAGGAGAAUUAGGAUAGAGUAAUGACCGAGAUUUAGCAGCGAUUAAAUUGUUGGAUACUUUGGUCACAGCUGCUUCAACAGAGCGACGAGCGCGGAAUUCAGACUGAAGCGGGUCAAGCAGAGAGUUGGAUUCAAUAAAGUCCGUCAAUCUUGCAUACACAACUCUCUCAAGGAUCUUGGAGGCAAAUGGCAGUAGCAAUAUAGGGCGGUAGUUGGAUAGGGAAUUAGGGUCAAGGUUGGGCUUUUUCAGAAUCGGCGUUAUAGUUGCAUGCUUGAAGGGUGAAGCAAAUGUGCCAGAGGAAAGGGAGAAAUUGAAAAUUUUAGUGAG
Non-coding RNA from Pelobates cultripes (western spadefoot toad), 499 nucleotides. The record is from the annotation of a GenBank genome assembly. Lineage: Eukaryota; Metazoa; Chordata; Amphibia; Anura; Pelobatidae.